ACAGGAUCGUGUCACGUAGCUGUUAGCAGUGGUGAGAAUCGGUGUCCUGUCACAAUCAGGGUUACGUUGUGUGAUGGUAGAAUUUUUAGUGUGGUUUUUUCUCGUGGAAUUUACGAAUCGCAUUUCUUUCCCAGGAUGCGGGUCUGGAGUUUAACGGGGAACUCGGAAGCGCGUGGUAGGUUUUUUUUGUGUGUGUGUGUGUGUUUUUCUUUCUUUGCCAUUACUGCCUUGUGUCGUGUAGGCCUGUUCGUAUGUAGUGAUGGAGCUUCGUGAUUCACUGCAGUGAUUUGAUUCGCUGAUUCGUCACUCAAACGACUCUUUUAAGUGAACCGAGCACGACUUUACAAUUCUUAUUUGGCGCAGAUUGUCAUUUAUAUCAAAGUUAAUCAACAUAAAGAGAAAGAAAAAUAUUAUAGCAGUAACAAUCCGUUAGGUUAUGCUGAGUGAUGUUGAGUACUCGGCUAGCUAGUUACAAUCACCACAAGAAGUUUUUGCUAGCUAGCUAAUUUGGCCUUUUCCUGAGAAAUAUCGAAACAAACAUCCAUAUUAAGUUGAGCAUAAGUUAACGUACUUUAGCACAUUGAUCCUGCUUCAGUUUUCAAUUUUAUAAUUGUAACUAAACUAGCUAGGAAAUGGAAAACACAGGCAGCGAAUGGUUAGCUAGCAAAGUACGUGGACAUUAACACUGUAACUUGCUGCUAGCUGGCUAACUCUUCUAAGCAAAGCCUCCUCUUGGUAAAUGUCAGAACAAACUUAGCUAGCUAGCUAAAUUUACCACAGGAGAUUACUGCUAGCUAAUUUGAGAAAGGUUUUUGCUAGCUAGCUAAUCUGAGAAAUGGAUAACACAUGCAGCAAGUUGUUAUCUAGCAAAGUUCCAUUGACGUGGAAAUUAAUGCAGGAGCUUGCCGCUAACUGGCUAACUCUUCUAAGCAAAGCCUUCUCCUGGUAAACGUCAGGACGUUAACUAGCUAGCUAAAUUUACCACAGGAGAUUACUGCUAGCUGUCUAAUUUAGCUAACUCUGAGCCUCCUAAUGGCAGAAAGUCAGAACAAAGUUCCACAUUAUGCUAUGACAGGCCGUGCUGAACGGCUCCUGAACUUUCUGAUUUUGCUCAAUAAGAGCGUCAACAUGGGCGGAAAAGCUAAAUGUGAUUAGCCGAUAGAAAUCUUGAUUACAUGACAUCACCACGAUCGUUUAUCCAACGCGCUAGCAAACCUGCUUGGCUAGUUAGCCUUAACCAUUCUGAUUCAGAUGAUUAAAAUUGAUUCACCUGAUUCACUUAAACGAUUCGUUUGAAUAGAGCGAAUCCUUUUUGGUGAAUGGCCCCUUACCGUUAGUCAGAAGGAAGACUUUAGCAUUAGUAGAUGCAGUACCGUACAUCGUGAUUGGUUGAGACUGGUUAGGCUGUCGUGUUAGGUGUUGCUGUAUUUUGGUAGAGUGUUUCCAUCCUGAGCAUUCUGGCGUGCUGAUGAUUUAUUAACCGUUCGUGACAUUUCAUAGCGAGGGCCUGAUGACGACGUGACACUGUUGAUUAUUUUUAUUUGCUACUGUGUCAUUCCCCUGUGUCUUAUUCGGAGCAUGGAUUUCUAUUUCGAUGCGUUAGCAUUACACGUGUACACUCGAUGUAUUAUAAUAUGAAUAAUGUACGUUUUCCAUAUGCGAUAUGACAAAUGAUUCGUUGUGCGACUAGGCAUGUGCCGAUAAUCGGUUCAGUCGUGAUCAAUUUCGGAUUGGAGGCGGCCUGCGUAGGCAACGGUGUACGUAAUGUCGCGCUAGCAAACUUGUUUAGACAAAAUAAAAGAUAGCAAACGUCACACUUGGUUUUAAUUACACAGUAAAGAAGUCUAGCUAACGUUAGCUAGCUUGUCCUUGAACCUGGCUAGCUAUGUGGCUAUGUUGCGUUUAAAUACACGGUGGACAAAUUUCGUGAUAAAUGUUAGCUAGUUUUGACGAUAGCGAAACGUUGAUUAUCAGCACGUGCCUAGCGGUGACAUAGCUAAUAUGCUGCAUUAAAGGGACAUUGCCUUCUUUUUAAACAAUGACCAAACGAUUAAAAGAAAAAAAAAAAAGGAACCGCAAGUGGGAUUUUUACCCGUCGUCCCUCGACAUGACGAGGAGAUUAUUGUUUUGUUUUGUUUUGUUUUUUCAUUUCAACCGCAGGAGACGACGGGAUUCACGGUUCUCGUUUCUCAUUUCUCAUCGCGAGAGUCAGAUCCAAACGAAGUGCCUCCUUUUUAACCGUGCAGUCCGGGUAGUGCCCACGUCAAGGUUUGCACUUUGUGUGUCACUUCUGUCCAUUGUCUGUGUGCGUGACACACACUUACACACUCAUACACACACACACACAUACGCACAUGUGAUUUAAAGAGAGGUGUCAUACUACGCUGAUUGCAUGUGAAGCCGAACCUGUCAAAGUCCUGAAUAAAACCUGUGCUGGCCUGAA
Molecule: long non-coding RNA, 2443 nt
Organism: Ictalurus punctatus (channel catfish)
Lineage: Eukaryota; Metazoa; Chordata; Actinopteri; Siluriformes; Ictaluridae
Source: Ensembl